AAAGCAGAAACAUCAUUGCCCAUUUUCUUCUUUGUAUGCUGUUCUCGCAACAAAAAUCAUAUCACUGAUGAAUACAGAAGCAAAUAGAUGAAAUUAUUUCAAUGAUUGUUAAUUAAGGACGAUAAAAUAGCUGCUCUCCAUUUUUUUGCUUUUCAUUAGCACUCCUGCUUAUUUUUUGGGUUUCUUCUCAGCGGGUGUCAAAUCUGUAAUCAUUGUGGUUCACUAGAGGACAGUUACU
Non-coding RNA from Schizosaccharomyces pombe (fission yeast), 238 nucleotides. NCBI's taxonomy places the organism in Eukaryota, Fungi, Ascomycota, Schizosaccharomycetes, Schizosaccharomycetales, Schizosaccharomycetaceae. The record is from the annotation of a GenBank genome assembly.